RNAcentral lists this long non-coding RNA (540 nucleotides) under Monodelphis domestica (gray short-tailed opossum). Its description in RNAcentral is "lncRNA (ENSMODG00000045863.1)". Lineage: Eukaryota; Metazoa; Chordata; Mammalia; Didelphimorphia; Didelphidae. The record is from RNAcentral.
AUCUUUAUAUUACUAUGAAGAAAGCAGAGGCUCAACAACAUGAAGUGGUUUUCCUAGGUCAUCCACUCAGGCCAAGGUCGGAGCCAAGAUUCAAAGUGAGGCCCAAUGCAAAAUCUAGCCUUUACUCUGCUACAUUUGUGGACACACAUGCAUAGAGUCAUUCAAACAUGUAAGUCUAAUAACUUUCUCAUUGCUUUCCAAAAAAGUUUUACAGUAUUUGUUCAACCUACUUCACAGGUAAGGGUGAAGAGCAGAAAGAAGAAUAUGGCACCAGGGAAUCUGAACUUUGAUCCUUAUAGAGGAAAUUGUGAGGGAGGAAGAGCACUGGGUUGGCCAGAAAAGGACUUUGGUGUAAAUCACAAAGCAAGGAAAGAAUCCUGGACAACUCCAAGGGACUCAUGAUGAAAAGGAUACCGACCACCAUAGAAGGGACAGAUGGAGUCCAAGUGUACAUAUGUACAUCCUAUAUUAUAUUAUCUGCUUUGUUGGUUAAGGGGGCAGGGUAGAAGCCAAUAAAAUAAAAAGAAUGAAAUUUUGGAA